RNAcentral lists this ribosomal RNA (497 nucleotides) under uncultured bacterium. Its description in RNAcentral is "partial 16S ribosomal RNA". It matches the Rfam family "Bacterial small subunit ribosomal RNA", at positions 28 to 507 of the family's 1533-position model. The record is from RNAcentral.
GAUGAACGCUGGCGGCGUGCCUAAUACAUGCAAGUCGAGCGAACGGACGAGAAGCUUGCUUCUCUGAUGUUAGCGGCGGACGGGUGAGUAACACGUGGAUAACCUACCUAUAAGACUGGGAUAACUUCGGGAAACCGUAGCUAAUACCGGAUAAUAUUUUGAACCGCAUGGUUCAAAAGUGAAAGACGGUCUUGCUGUCACUUAUAGAUGGAUACGCGCUGCAUUAGCUAGUUGGUAAGGUAACGGCUUACCAAGGCAACGAUGCAUAGCCGACCCGAGAGGGUGAUCGGCCACACUGGAACUGAGACACGGUCCAGACUCCUACGGGAGGCAGCAGUAGGGAAUCUUCCGCAAUGGGCGAAAGCCUGACGGAGCAACGCCGCGUGAGUGAUGAAGGUCUUCGGAUCGUAAAACUCUGUUAUUAGGGAAGAACAUAUGUGUAAGUAACUGUGCACAUCUUGACGGUACCUAAUCAGAAAGCCACGGCUAACUACGUG